Molecule: long non-coding RNA, 765 nt
Organism: Piliocolobus tephrosceles (Ugandan red Colobus)
Lineage: Eukaryota; Metazoa; Chordata; Mammalia; Primates; Cercopithecidae
Exons: 4
Source: RefSeq, a predicted model, not a curated record
CGGUCGCUGACUGGAGACUCAGGCGAGUCCUAAGCAACUGACAAGGCCCAACGGUUAAAACCGCCUCUGUCCUGCGCGUUCACCCAAUGCACCCGCCUACUCUCUAUCUCAAUCCGGGCGUCGCCUCCCUUUGCCAGGCAACGAGAGCGCGCGCAGCAAAGAGAAGGCGGGAAGGAUGGAUGAGGAAAUCGAGGUUCGGAGAGACGGAGUGACUGGCUGAGAUCUCACAGCUGACAAGAGAAAAUGCAGUGAAUGGCUUAAAUAGAAUUUCAGCUUUGGGGGCUCACGAGUGAGAGGCUUCUUCCUUGAUUACCCUGGGAAGGAAGAAAUCUUCAUUUUUGGUUUGCAAGACCAUGAAAACAAGACAGAAGAAGAAAAUUUAAAAGAAAGAUCUUUGUCACUUUGGGUAAGCAGGGAGUUCUUGGACAUAAGACCAACACCAAAGGACAAACUGAUAAGGUAUUUUAAGUAGCAAACACAGCUCUGAGUGCAGAAAAUGAAAGAGUUAUUGCCUUGAAUUAUACUUCUGAUGGUGUGAAGAGUAGCCUUUUCCCCCCUCAUCGUACUUACUGUGACCUCUGUGGUUCCUGUGAUUUUUUUUUCCUUUCUAUGAACCAGAAAUACAUGAUCAGAACAAUUUAUGGCUGGGCACGCCUGUAAUCCCAGCCCUCUGGGAGGCUGAGGUGGAUGGAUCACCUGAGGUCAGGAGUUCGAGACCAGCCUGGCCAACAUGGCAAAACCCUGUCUCUACUAAAAAUACAAAAA